Candidatus Entotheonella sp. is the source of this 239-nucleotide non-coding RNA. The record is from Rfam. Lineage: Bacteria; Pseudomonadati; Candidatus Tectimicrobiota; Candidatus Entotheonellia; Candidatus Entotheonellales; Candidatus Entotheonellaceae.
CAGGUUCCGGCCCUGGAAGUCUUGGCCAGACACCGGGUACCGAGUGUUGCGUCGUUGUCGGUAACGCCAACGGCGAAGCGUACACAGGGACGUGACGGGCCGCAAUGCGAAAGCGUGAAGGGAUUGAGCCCCGUAAUUAAUGUUAAGGGUGGGUGCCGACGCUGUUUGUGGUGCGGAAGGCAACAUCAACAAAGCCUAUCGGCCAUGGCUUUAGCGAACCCACCGGGAGCCUUAGGUGA